This 730-nucleotide ribosomal RNA is filed under the name uncultured bacterium. RNAcentral describes it as "SSU rRNA". It matches the Rfam family "Bacterial small subunit ribosomal RNA", at positions 505 to 1240 of the family's 1533-position model. The record is from RNAcentral.
GUGCCAGCAGCCGCGGUAAUACGGAGGAUCCAAGCGUUAUCCGGAAUCAUUGGGUUUAAAGGGUCCGUAGGUGGAUAAUUAAGUCAGAGGUGAAAUCUUGCAGCUCAACUGUAAAAUUGCCUUUGAUACUGGUUAUCUUGAGUUAUUAUGAAGUAGUUAGAAUAUGUAGUGUAGCGGUGAAAUGCAUAGAUAUUACAUAGAAUACCAAUUGCGAAGGCAGAUUACUAAUAAUCAACUGACACUGAUGGACGAAAGCGUGGGUAGCGAACAGGAUUAGAUACCCUGGUAGUCCACGCCGUAAACGAUGGUUACUAGCUGUUUGGACCUUGUGUCUGAGUGGCUAAGCGAAAGUGAUAAGUAACCCACCUGGGGAGUACGUUCGCAAGAAUGAAACUCAAAGGAAUUGACGGGGGCCCGCACAAGCGGUGGAGCAUGUGGUUUAAUUCGAUGAUACGCGAGGAACCUUACCAGGGCUUAAAUGUAAGUUGCAUUAGUUAGAGAUAGCUAUUUCUUCGGACCACUUACAAGGUGCUGCAUGGUUGUCGUCAGCUCGUGCCGUGAGGUGUCAGGUUAAGUCCUAUAACGAGCGCAACCCCUGUUGUUAGUUGCCAGCGAGUCAUGUCGGGAACUCUAACAAGACUGCCGGUGCAAACCGUGAGGAAGGUGGGGAUGACGUCAAAUCAUCACGCCCUUACGUCCUGGGCUACACACGUGCUACAAUGUUCGGUAC